This is a non-coding RNA of Misgurnus anguillicaudatus (oriental weatherfish), 877 nucleotides long. NCBI's taxonomy places the organism in Eukaryota, Metazoa, Chordata, Actinopteri, Cypriniformes, Cobitidae. The record is from RefSeq and is a predicted model, not a curated record.
GUUCUACGUAAAACUGCGAGCUACUUGUGCAAACGUCACAAACGUGCGACCGUGUCAUCGAUUUCCGCCUUUGGUCAUAAACACGCGACGUGCGUUCUGCAACAUGACGGAUAGUGGAGUGAAGCACGCGCUGGAGCUGGUGCAGGCAGAAGGUGCUGAUGAGGGUUGUGUGACAUUUGUUCUCCAUGAAGAGGAUCACACACUGGGCAACUCACUGCGUUAUAUGAUCAUGAAGAGCCAGGAUGUGGAGUUUUGUGGAUACAGCAUCACACACCCAUCAGAAAGCAAAAUUAACUUCCGGGUACAGACGCGAGGAGGACUUCCUGCAUCUGAACCUCUGCGCUGUGGCUUAAACAACCUUACUGAAGUUUGUAAACAUGUCCUGUACACAUUUGAGAAUGGACAUCAUAUUACUUCAUUACGUACACCAUUUCACCGAACUUUAGUCAGUCAUCUGCAUCUGAACGGAGUCAUGAACGAAAUUAUAUGAUUUGUGAACGAGGAUCUGAUGACCGACUGAACCAGAAGAGGCAUUUGCCAGUCACUCAGUAGCACGCACAGAUGAAUGCUUUUAAGAAUGGAGAGGCAUCGAUGGAGUAAAGCUGGCAUCAACACUCAAUACACUAGUCUGAUGAUCUCGACUGGAUUAGAAUUAACAAGGAUAUUAACUUUAUAUUGAUUAUUUGUAAGUCUUUGUUGUAAAACAACACACAACAAUCAGUCCUGUUUCUCACAGUUAUUCUUGUUUUUGUAGAAAAAAAAUCUUGGUACAGUAUAUUCAUCUCUGCAAGUGAUCCAUCACCCUUAGGCAUUUUUUUAAAUUAAGUUUAAACAUACAGAAUAUGCUAAACCAUAAAAUAAAUUAAAAUAAUUGUUA